RNAcentral lists this ribosomal RNA (429 nucleotides) under Chloroflexota bacterium. RNAcentral's name for it is "Chloroflexi bacterium partial 16S ribosomal RNA". It matches the Rfam family "Bacterial small subunit ribosomal RNA", at positions 355 to 776 of the family's 1533-position model. The record is from RNAcentral. Lineage: Bacteria; Bacillati; Chloroflexota.
UGGGGAAUAUUGCACAAUGGGCGCAAGCCUGAUGCAGCCAUGCCGCGUGUGUGAAGAAGGCCUUCGGGUUGUAAAGCACUUUCAGCGGGGAGGAAGGCGAUAAGGUUAAUAACCUUGUCGAUUGACGUUACCCGCAGAAGAAGCACCGGCUACCUCCGUGCCAGCAGCCGCGGUAAUACGGAGGGUGCAAGCGUUAAUCGGAAUUACUGGGCGUAAAGCGCACGCAGGCGGUCUGUCAAGAAGGAUGUGAAAUACCCGGGCUCAACCUGGGAACUGCAUUCGAAACUGGCAGGAUAGAGGCUUGUAGAGGGGGGUAGAAGUCCGGGUGUAGCGGUGAAAUGCGUAGAGAUCUGGGGGAAUACCGGUGGCGAAGGAGGCCCCCUGGACAAAGACUGACGCUCAGGUGCGAAAGCGUGGGGAGCAAACAGG